Molecule: long non-coding RNA, 156 nt
Organism: Ananas comosus (pineapple)
Lineage: Eukaryota; Viridiplantae; Streptophyta; Magnoliopsida; Poales; Bromeliaceae
Exons: 2
Source: RefSeq, a predicted model, not a curated record
UAUGCUAAAUUCAAUCCGCAGGUUAAAGCUUCCCCAAGGCGUGCUUUGUUCGACGCUGGACGUGUAAUUUAUAGUGACGUCUUGCUACGUAAACUUGAAGAAAUUAUCCAAUCCCUGAAGAAAAUUGAAUCUCUUGUGGUAGGGUCGCGUUCGUAA